AAAAAUCCCUCACUGCUACAUGGUCAUGAGUGACAAGUAUAGGACAAAAUUUGUAUCUCUCCAACGGCAAGUGGUGGGUCUUUCCAUAUUUGUAUUAAAAAAUUCUGAAGACUAAGAGACACUAUACAAUCAAUGUAAUCUUCUUAACAUUAAGUGAAAGUUUCCCUUUUCAGAAAAGAAAAAAACCCAGGUGUAUAAAAAUAUUUGAAGAUGAAAAAUCAUGGAUUCACCAAAGAGGAUGAAAAGGAAAAGGAACAAGAACAUAUACACAUAUAAAUCAUGGCUAUAACAGAAAUUGAUUCUGGAAAAGACAAUUUCAGGAAUUGGGACAGCUUAUAGAUGCAUUUCUCUUCAAGGUAGAAAAAAGUCAUCUAAAAUAUAUGAGUGGAGAUGCAACAUCAUGAAGUUCAAAGUAAAGUGCAAAGCUGAAUAUCAUAAAAUCUCCAAACAACGAUGAAGCCUUAAAAGUUGGAGAUAUGGCAUUAAAUUUUUUCCUUAGAAAGUACCAUGAUGUCUGUUACUAAUAAUUUAGUUUCCCAAAUGAGGAGCAAUGUAGCUGGCUUGUCAGAGUGAUUUUCCUGAAGAUGAAAUUGGAAAUGAGAAUAUUCAUGUGUGUCUCCAUACUGGAAAUCCUCAAGAUUCAACCAUAUUUCUAAGUGACUCAGUGAGGUCCCUUAAUUAAGGAAGCUCUUAACAGCACACUAAUGAGCUCUACUUGAAGGAGUAGUUUAAUACAGUAAGAGUGAUCUCCCCUUAGAAGUCAGAUAGAAAAAAAAAAUGGUUGCUUACCAUUUAUUUCACAAUUUGUAAUAGAUUAAAAUAUUUUUACUAGCAUUAUCUUAGACAAAGAAUAAGUAAUUGAUUAAUAUUUACAUUAAUUUUCCCAAUAGUCAACAACAGGGUUUUCUGUUCAUGAAUUAUUCAUAAAAUUUUUCUUGUAGAAAUAAUGCAGGUACAUGUACUUGUUGAAAAUGAACUAAUUGUCUCAAUGCGCAUGCCUUUAUAUGAUUUUUUUUCCUUAAUUGAAAGUCUGCAGAUCACUUCUUGAUACACAUGUAUUGUUU
Saccostrea cuccullata (small rock oyster) is the source of this 1064-nucleotide long non-coding RNA. RefSeq lists it as uncharacterized. The record is from RefSeq and is a predicted model, not a curated record. The transcript is spliced from 3 exons. NCBI's taxonomy places the organism in Eukaryota, Metazoa, Mollusca, Bivalvia, Ostreida, Ostreidae.